RNAcentral lists this RNase P RNA (372 nucleotides) under uncultured Paludibacter sp. Its description in RNAcentral is "RNaseP_bact_a". It matches the Rfam family "Bacterial RNase P class A". From Rfam's summary of the family: Ribonuclease P (RNase P) is a ubiquitous endoribonuclease, found in archaea, bacteria and eukarya as well as chloroplasts and mitochondria. Its best characterised activity is the generation of mature 5'-ends of tRNAs by cleaving the 5'-leader elements of precursor-tRNAs. Lineage: Bacteria; Pseudomonadati; Bacteroidota; Bacteroidia; Bacteroidales; Paludibacteraceae. The record is from RNAcentral.
ACAGCAGGUUGGUUUGUCGCUCCAUUGUAUUUAUGGGGAGGAAAGUCCGGGCAACAAAGAGCGCCAUACUUCCUAACGGGAAGCUGUCAGUAAUGGCAGAGAAGUGUAACAGAAAAUAACCGUCCACCAACUGGCGGAUAAGGGUGAAAAGGCGAGGUAAAAGCUCACCGGAAGUCACAGUGAUGUGAUUUGCCGUACACCUUAUGGGUUGCAAGAUCGCGUAUACCGGCGCAUGUAGAACUGCUCGUUCGAUGCCGGGGGGUAGAUCGCUCAGAUUCUGUCAGCAAUGCCAGAACAAGAUAAAUGACAAACAUUUUGUCUCGAUAAUAUCGGGACGGAACACAGAACCCGGCUUACAAACCUGCUGUUUUU